Molecule: ribosomal RNA, 253 nt
Filed under: uncultured bacterium
Lineage: Bacteria
Description: partial 16S ribosomal RNA
Rfam family: Bacterial small subunit ribosomal RNA
Source: RNAcentral
UACGGAGGGUGCAAGCGUUGUCCGGAAUUAUUGGGUUUAAAGGGUGCGUAGGCGGAUAUAUAAGUCAGAGGUGAAAUCCCAUCGCUUAACGGUGGAACUGCCUUUGAUACUGUAUAUCUUGAGUAAAGUAUAGGUAGGCGGAAUUUAUUGUGUAGCGGUGAAAUGCAUAGAUACGAUAAAGAACCCCAAUAGCGUAGGCAGCUUACUGGACUUUAACUGACGCUGAGGCACGAAAGCGUGGGUAGCGAACGGG